Molecule: ribosomal RNA, 250 nt
Filed under: uncultured prokaryote
Description: partial 16S ribosomal RNA
Rfam family: Bacterial small subunit ribosomal RNA
Source: RNAcentral
UACGUAGGGGGCAAGCGUUAUCCGGAUUUACUGGGUGUAAAGGGAGCGUAGACGGCGCGGCAAGUCUGAAGUGAAAGGCGGGGGCCCAACCCCCGGACUGCUUUGGAAACUGUCGGGCUCAGAGUGCGGGAGGGGCAAGCGGAAUUCCUAGUGUAGCGGUGAAAUGCGUAGAUAUUAGGAGGAACACCGGUGGCGAAGGCGGCUUGCUGGACCGUAACUGACGUUGAGGCUCGAAGGCGUGGGGAGCAAA